RNAcentral lists this ribosomal RNA (253 nucleotides) under uncultured bacterium. RNAcentral's name for it is "partial 16S ribosomal RNA". It matches the Rfam family "Bacterial small subunit ribosomal RNA", at positions 524 to 776 of the family's 1533-position model. The record is from RNAcentral.
UACGGGGGGGGCAAGCGUUGUUCGGAAUUACUGGGCGUAAAGGGUGCGUAGGCGGUCGGGUAAGUCUGAUGUGAAAUCUCACAGCUUAACUGUGAAACUGCAUUGGAUACUAUCCGGCUAGAGGAAUGGAGGGGAGACUGGAAUACUUGGUGUAGCAGUGAAAUGCGUAGAUAUCAAGUGGAACACCAGUGGCGAAGGCGAGUCUCUGGACAUUUCCUGACGCUGAGGCACGAAAGCCAGGGGAGCAAACGGG